CUGGAUUUGAAAAACCACAUUCCAUUCUCCUCAAGUGCCAUUCUGCCUAUCCAUAUAAGGUAAUGCUGUAAAUACUGUUUGCGGAUUGGUGUAAGGGUACAGAUGGGGGAUGUAUAGUCUAUAAAAAAACCUGUACUCCAUGUGCUCAGGGCUCAGACAUUUUGAACAUGAGUUCAGCUGAGACCUGAUUGGUGAGAAUAAAG
Non-coding RNA from Pelobates cultripes (western spadefoot toad), 203 nucleotides. The record is from the annotation of a GenBank genome assembly. Lineage: Eukaryota; Metazoa; Chordata; Amphibia; Anura; Pelobatidae.